This 89-nucleotide transfer RNA is filed under the name Syntrophaceae bacterium. RNAcentral describes it as "tRNA-Ser". It matches the Rfam family "tRNA". From Rfam's summary of the family: Transfer RNA (tRNA) molecules are approximately 80 nucleotides in length. Lineage: Bacteria; Pseudomonadati; Thermodesulfobacteriota; Syntrophia; Syntrophales; Syntrophaceae. The record is from RNAcentral.
GGAGGGAUGGCCGAGUGGUUUAAGGCGGCGGUCUUGAAAACCGCUUUCGCUAUUUGCGAACGUAGGUUCGAAUCCUACUCCCUCCGCCA